This 1673-nucleotide long non-coding RNA is filed under the name Pan troglodytes (chimpanzee). Its description in RNAcentral is "long non-coding RNA NONPTRT017949". Lineage: Eukaryota; Metazoa; Chordata; Mammalia; Primates; Hominidae. The record is from RNAcentral.
AGUGGGGUGAGCUUAGCAGAAGCCUCCAGGGAAUGACUCCCUGGAGCCAGAGUGCCCCAGACAGCCCAGCUCGGGGCUUCAGGGGCCCUGGCCGCCUCCCAGGCACUUAUUUUAUGUUCAGAAAGAGCAAAGCUGACAGGUAAUAAAUGGACGAGGAGGACUGGAGUGGGCUCUGACUGUCUGCCCGGCGCCUGCCCGGCCAGCCCGCCAUACCCACCACCACCCUCUCAGGGGGAUGAGAGCACCAUUAAUUACCCAGGAAGAAAGGGCGCCAUGAGGACGCACCCAAUGUUGCUUGGGGACAUCAUCUAUGGCCGCAUUUUCUGAGAGAAGCACCAAGCCUGAAGCUUGGCUGUCACCCCCACCACCCUCUGCCAUCAGCCGGCCAGGCUUUCCUUCUCCCCAGGUCGGUGCCAACAGUUCUCCAAACAGGAGCUCAAGCCACCGUCCCACUUGCCCUGUGAAGAAGGAACUGUUAUCAUUACAUUUUACAGACCAGACAGAGGGAUGCUGGCACCCAAGCCUGACGAGACCCACAAAGGAUGUUCCCUGAAGCAGAACCCCCACGGAGGGGUGGCUAAGUCAAUCUCAUACUGCAGAAAGUUCUACGCAGCAGAUAGAGACAGUGAGGUGGAAUUCUACAGCUGAAUUAGAAAAAUGUGUCCAAAUAUCUUACUGAACGAAAGAAGCAAGUUGCAGAACGAUACAUGACUUUAAAAAAGAAAUUUAAACAGAAUCAUAUUAUUCUAUGGAUAUAUACAUGUGCAUGAAAGUGCAAGGCAGCACUGAGAAAAAUGCCCUCCAAAGGCCUCCCACGCAUUGGCUAGACUCUGCUGCCAGGGGCCCACCCCAACUCUGCCUCAGCCCUAGCCCAGCCCCGCUCUUCAUACACAGGAAGAUCAUGACCCACCGACUCUCACAUCCUGCUGCCAGGAGAGUACACAGCCACAGUCUUUGCAGAGAGUGAGUAGGCAACAUGGAUCAAAAGUUAAAAAUCCAUAAACGUCCAUUUUAAAUUCAUAGAUUCUCCUUCUACAUGCUAUCCUUCAGAUAAACUCUCACAGGCAUGUAAGAACAGAUGUACAAGGAUGUUUAUGCACUCCGGUUUGAAGCAGCAGACAAAAAAAAAAAAAAAAGCACCAAAACUGUAAGCAACGUCUGUGUCCGUCACAGGGGGCCUGGUUGAAUAAAUUAUAGUCUCUCCUGAAAAUGGAAUCCUGUGUGACCGUUCUGCAGCGCGAGGUGGAAAUGUGUAUACCGACACCAUGGACUCGAGGUGAAGAUGCACGGGAUACUUCAGGAUGUGUGGGAUGAUCUCCCGGGUGGAUAGAUUCUUACAUAUGCUUCUGUGUGUGUGUGUGCGUGUGUGUGUGUGUGUGUGUUGAGUAGGGAUGAAGAAAAAAGGCUUAGUUUUCAGUCUAUAAUAUUUGAUUUUAUUUUUAAUAAACAAAAUCAUGACAUGCCAUUUUUAUAGACUAAGAAGCAGAUUUUGGUGCAGGAUGUUGAUGGUGGGGGAGGCUGUGCUUGUGUGAGCACAGAGAGUAGAUGGGAUCUCGUACUUUCUGCUCAAUUUUGCUGUGAACCUAAAACUGAUCUAAAAAAUAAAGGCUAUUUUUUAAAAAAUAGAUUAAAAGUCUUUAGAAAUUCAAAACACAAGAGAACCUUUUCCUCCA